RNA transcript from Physcomitrium patens, 2306 nucleotides. RefSeq lists it as uncharacterized. The record is from RefSeq and is a predicted model, not a curated record. NCBI's taxonomy places the organism in Eukaryota, Viridiplantae, Streptophyta, Bryopsida, Funariales, Funariaceae.
CGGUGUCUCGGAGCCCAAGCCGAGCUCACAGUCUCUUCCACCAUCGCAUCAACCCGCGUUCCCCUAAUUCGCUGUAACCUCUUGCUGCCGCUGGCUAUAGCUAUGGCUAUGGCGCUUUAAUGAACACCCCGACGUCGUCACCAGCAGUGUACAUGACCCCCCCCUGUAUAACACUACGAUUUUUCUUAAUGCUGGUUUGCGGUUCCAACGGUGUGCCACACAAACCCCGGACCAUUCUCAUCACGGAAAUCGCUGCGAUCUGUUGCAGCGGAAGUUAGCAACACUGAGCAUCAUCCAAGAAUAGGUGGAGGAACGGUCUGCAAUGUAGAAGUAUAUACCCAGCUUCAAUGUCUUCACCUGUUCGCCGAGCUUCAUCUCUCUGUACAGGGUCUUGGCUGCCUGGAGGGGACGUCUUUGCGCAGGAGGUCCCCAAGCAGAGCCAUCAUGAUGUUAAAGACGGCGCCCGUGUUAUUUCUCGGACCUUGCGCAAUGAAAAUGAUCUUUUACGCUACCAACUUAAUGACAUCAUUGCCAGAGAAAAGAAUCAGAGAAUUGAGCUGCAAAGGCUGCGGGACCAUCGCGAUGUUGAGGUGGCGUCCCUUGUACAGGCUGCUACACAGCAUUUAAAAGGAGAGGUUGAGCAGAUGAAGUUCUUGCUACAAUCUACUUCUGCUCAACUUCUCCAAGCCCUAGCGGAGAAAGAGAAGGCUGUAAAUGACAGUCAUGACACGAUGCGUACUGUUGAGGAACUGAAACAUAAUGCAGAAGUUAAUGAGACCUGCAUCAUGGAGCAGCUACGAGGCUUGAAAGAGCUUUUAUCUAAAACGUCUGGUACAGUUACAGCUCUUGCCGACUCCGUUGAGGGCUUUCAGAGGCAUGUCCUUCCAACAUUUAAGCCUUCAGGAACCAACGUGACGAAGUUGACCCGGAAUCUACCGAGCAAACCGGGCGUCACCGAGCUGAUGACCUCUGAGUUGGAGAGGCUUGAAGCUGGAAUUACUUUGCUGCGGGUGAUUGUGGACGCCAAGAAUGAUACUCUUGUACUUAUUCGUGGAAAAUUGAAGCAAGAGAACGAGGACCUAAAAACAGAGCUUCAACUUGCACGUGAUCGGGAGACAAGAACAAGUAUUUCUGAUCGUAAACCAAAUAAUGCCACCGCGGUUGCCAACGAUGAUAUGGUUCACGAGAAAACUGUACUUCGUCAGGAGCUACAAUCUUUGCAGAACUUGUAUUGUGCGGAAGUGAAGCAAUUGAAGGCAAAGUUGAAGUAUCAGGAGGAAGAAGGAGUUGCAGAAAGUAAUCGAUUCUGCGAAAUUCAGCAUGAGUGUAAGGUGUUGCAAAGUAGAAUUGAGUCCCUUGAAGCUGCAAAGGACAUGCUGGAAGUCAACCUGAAGGAUGAAACUUCUGCGCGGUCUCAACUUGUUUCCCAAGUAUUCAACUUGCGGAAGGAGAAUGAGAAGUUAAAGACUGAAUUGGAGACUUUGAAGCUUAAUCAAAAGUUCCUGGUGAGACAGCCAAGAUCAGGUGGACGUAUUCCAGUUGAAAAGAUGGAUCUCAUGAACACAGUAAAUCAGUUGCUAUUAGAAAUGAACAAAUUAAAAAGUGACAAAGUGACUCUCGAGGAAGAGAUCAAGACAGUACGUCGAUGCCAAAUGCGGGAUCAAAUGACGCGCACUGUCACUGCCCGUGAUGUGGCUAUGGCUGCAAGUAAUAAGGUUGGAGACGGAGAAAUAGCAGGUAAAUUGGCAAGUACGCGACUCAAUCAGUUGGCUCUAGGGAUCACUUAUGGUCCCUGUUCCGCUUCACAACUAGCACUUACUGAUGGUGACCCAAAUCAAAAUGCCACUCUCAUGAAUGUUCAGAGCGACAGCAAUGCUAUGGAAGCUUCUGAGGAGACACGAGAGGUGAUUCUAGAAACAGGAUGCAAAGUGCAAAUAAACAAGGUGUCAUGGUAGGGACAAGCAGUAGUGUGGAUAAUAUUGAUGGAGAAAUUGGGAAAUACAUGGCAGGUGACUAGCACAUCAUUUUCAUUUGUUGACCUAUUUCAGUGCAACUCAUGAAGGGCACACCAAACAUUGUUGCAUUCAGUGACAUGUUUUGUUAUCCAUGAAUAGGAUAUUUAUUAAUGACUAUGGAAAUUUUGAUUAGAUGUAAAAAAUGUUUAUUUAUUUCUUAUUUUUGUAAUUUGAGCAUUCAAAAAUGUAGAUAUAUGGUGUAACUAAGGCUGAAAUAAUUUGGAUGAUAUCAUUCCAUACAAAGAAGCCAUUGCACUAACUGGUUGAUAGGAAUACAAAUAUGGUUAUUGC